GAGUCUGGCCCAGAGCCGGAUCGCUGCUGUCUGUCGGGUGAGCGCCCGCCUGCGCAGGUAGACAGAGAGAGAGAGCCGAGUACGCGGUGCCCUACGUCUUCGUCGGAGGGAGGUGGAGGUGGAGGAGCGGCGGCCGCUACAGCCAGGGCGGGAGGCCGGUGGCGGUCCACAGCGACUCCCCCAGGUCGCGGUCCCUCUAGUGGGCGCUGCGCGACGACGUCUUCCAGAGGCUCCUCGCGGUCGAGGCGUCGGUGGAGGCGGCGCGGCGGCGGCGGCGGGAGUGGUAGGUCGCUUAUACCUCUUCUAUGGUAGAAUAGUCUUUCCAAUGUCUUGUUGAAGUACUUCUCACCCUUCAUAAUCAUUUGGUCGGACUGUAGUUGGACUGUUUAGUUACCUAUAGCUCGUUCUACGAAUCCGGUAAAGAAAAGAAGUAAUGAGUUGGUAGUUCGACCAUGUUAACCGUUGUCUGGUUCUGACACUUCAGAUAGAGUUCUACGAAGUUUUAGUAGAACUUAUCGUAUUUGAGUUACCUAGCUUCGUUUUUGAAGACAAGGAAACGACACCCAAAAGGUCUUCUCUCCAGAUAAACCGAAAUAGUCCGUUUCUUCGACUAAAGCGACACGAGAACGUAAGAACGGUCCACACUAGUAACAACAACAUUCCUACAUUUGUACCAACUUUAAUCAUGAGAAUGAUACGCCAACCGGUAGAGUAAUUGACUAACGUUUUGUACCUUUUUGAAUUGUUCACUCUUAUGAUCUCGACGACUACGGAGACACCUCUGAAACUAACUUAAAUAACCGUGUUCUGUCUCACCAUGUAUAUCCACACACUCCUCUAUAUAUUUUACAAAACCAGGGGUACAAUGGGGUCCCUUCUAUCUAAGACGCUAACGUGGUCUACUCGUCGAGGACCAAUGACGAUCACGUCAGUGAGAACGUAACGCGGGAAAGUUGAGAUGUUCUCGUCUGUACCCACAACUAGAUUGACCACGACGUUUCCUUAUGAAGUGUGAAUAUGAGUGUUAAGGCAUAUAAACGUUUGCAGACGGCGGAGAAGAAAAUGGACGAGAUUUUGUGUAUAGACAUGACGUUGGCAGAGAGUCGUAAAAUGACCCAGAAGUUUAAAACUAUACCUGUAUCCGUAAACCAUACGACAACGUAAUUAAAAGAUAUCUUCGAAAACGAGAGGUUCCUCAGUCUGUAACUUGAUUAUUUAAGGACACAAAGACUGUACUAUUACUCAACGAGAUAGGCACAUCAUAAGGAGUUAACAACGUCGAACUUUGGACAUACAAUAUCAACUAGGCGAUUAUAAAAACUUCACCAUUAACAAAAUAAGAAUGAAAAAUCAAUAUAUAUGAAACAAUCACCAGAUACAUGACGACAUAUUAAGAAAUACUGUGAUCGAUAAUUUAAAAUUAAAUAGUAAGGUCGCCAAUUACAAUUCAAUUGGUCAACGUUUAAGCACUUUCUAUAAUAAGGUAAUGGUACAAGAUUGGUAGACGUUCAAGAAUCCGGAUCAUAAAGAUAUAUCACUGUUGAGUAGUGACACCGUAGAACUAAUUUUUUCAACUAAGGUAACAUUCACGUCUUAACAUCACAGGACUGUGCAAGUAGGAAGAUCCCUAUGGUUUUUCAAAUAUUAAAUCAACCACACUAAAAAAAUUUAUAACCUUAAAUUUACAGCUUGACUAGUUCGGUACCGUCCACCAUCGUCUGGAGCUUCCUAUUUUAUAAACUUCUUUAUUCAUUUGACCUCGUCAGUCUCCAAAGAUCACAACUAUUGUCAUGGUAAGGGAUGACACCAACCCGAGAACCUUUAGAAUAUUGAGAUCGGUGCCUCGUACUACUAAAUAGGUUAAACCCAACGAAGUAAGUUCCCGAUCUAACAACGGAUAUACAACUACGAUAAUUGGCAUAAAGGGUUUUGAAUGACUUUACAAAACUUCUUUCGUUCCCUUACGAAGUAACGUAACUACUAUCCCGGCGGUUAUUAUGUAGUUAAUGGCUUCUUCGACUGUGGUCACUAUCGACGGCGUGCUCUUGUAACAAAUACCUGGAAGAUUUCGGUUAAAUGGUCGUCACCGUGGAAUCUUUCGAUAACUAUAACCGUUUCCUCCUACAAGGCGCGCUCUCCCUUUGGUUGGUACUGGAUCUAGUUUCCGUCCAGUUUACAGCCUCGGAUUUCAAUUGCCUAUAAUAUACGAAAAUGAUAAUGUACGAGUCUUAAAAGAGAAGGGACUUGGGUAGAUAACCAGGUAACGGAUAAGAGUUGUACGAGAGUAAGUGGGGCCCUAAAGAACAACUAAACACCCCUUGCAAUCUUUAUAGUUAAAAACCCGUUUGACCGGUGUUUAGUGUCCUUGGACUCGUACUUUUUGUUAACCGACCUUCAUCAAGUCCACUCGUUUAUAGGAGGUGUUUCGUUUCUGCCUUACGGUUCCUAUGUGGUUUUUUCACCCGUUUACACAAGGUAUUCUAAUGUCCUUUUAGUUUACUACGUCUACUGUGGUUAAACUCACUGUCAAACUGAAGACUCUUAAGAUUACUGCUACGUAAUUAAAACACCCUAUAGCUCUGAUACUCCGUUCCUAGACUUCCAUAGCCCUUCCUACAUUUAGUGUACAACGUAGACAAGACACGUUAUAUACCUGUAGAUAAUGAACACGAUCUACUAUAACUCAAAAUACUCUUUGUCUAAGGAAAAUGAGAUCUCGUUGUUGCCUUCUAACGUAGUCGUGAGUUAUGCAAACACAUAUUGAGAAAGGAAGUCUUAUCACCUUCACCGUUGUUCGGAGAAUAACUGCACUGACACUCUACAGAAUUAGAUGAGAUACUUUCCCUGUCGUCUGUGUCCAAGACAGGGUCAAGAGACACCAACAGUGGGCGGUCUUGACCGUCUUAAGGUUAACGUCGACGACGGUCUCGGGUACUCCGUCGGAAACGAUCAAAUCAGCCUUGAUGAAGUCCUUAAGGAUGGGCGUCGAGACAUGAAUGGUGUCAUGGUGUACAUAUAGGCAAACUCCUCUCUCACGUCUACAAAUCUCUUAAAUAACUCAAUCUGUUUCGUAGUUCUUCUCGAUUGCCACUUCAGAGACCCGGUCCAGGUCCUAGGUAGCUCUAUCAGUAAGCAGCUCCAGUAUAGCAACUUCUACCUAUAUCCGUCAACUUAACAGAAUCUAGAUUCGACUUUAGAACGUAAGUACACAGCAAACAGUCACUUACACCGGAGGGACUUCGACCAAACCUGAUACCACCAGAUAGUUUCCUCAAGAAUUGACUAGACAGGUUCCGACGGAAGUCAGGUCUUAUACCUGACAAAUGUGUUUGUAGUUGUAGACUAUCAUCGUAUUAAGGUUCGUCAAGGCGAUUCGAAAACCUGUUACCGUAACUAUACUAACUUAAAGAACCAGCUCAACAGCCGUUUCGUGAGAUACUCCCCUAGGAGAACCUGAUGACAAAAAGUGUUCAUAAACACGUUUUUGAAGAUCCCGCGAUAUCAAAAAACCUACUUAAUAGUUGUGAACUAAGACUUGAAAUGUCUUCAGAUUACGUUGAGUUCGUGAUACUGCCCCUGCAGCUUCUUGAAACAAACCUAAAAUGAGACUGACUUCUCAAUCCGCCCUUUUCUUAGCACGUACUUGACUCUGGCCCACCGUUUUUAUAGAGACAAUGUUUACUUUUAUCUAACGUGAUACAAGUACGCUACCGUCUGAUGUUCGAAUUGGCGGUCUAUGAAGGCAAAAGUUUACGUAAAAUGUCUCCUGAAUCACUAGAGUAGAGUGGUAGAACCGACUCGAACAAAUUACGUUUACUUAAAUUGGUCAAUGAAAGUCCACCUAGAGUCCUAAAACUACAACUACUAGACGCCUUGUUGUGGUUCAUGUGACCACCGAUAUGGCUCAGUUCAGCUUGACAAUUUGAGAAAACCCUCCAAUAGUUUCCCAAAUUCGGCUGUCUUGCGACGGACGAUGACUUCAAACACUGCUCGACGAGCGCUCGGGGCAACGAGCCUAAGUUCAUGAACGUCGGACCAAAGUGUUAAGUGUUCCAAGGUACGCUACACUGUGAAACCCGAAGUUAGCCUCCCGUUCUGCACCUGGCGGAGGGUAGACGAAGCUGUACGAUGUUAUGCGAGUUCGAAGGCUGCAUGUUCGCCAGCUCGUGCGACUCCUCGUUCGACGACAUGCGCUAGUCGAGUUUGUGGCCCAAACUUGACAGCAUCCGCCACCUCCAUGCAAACGGCACGCACGAGACGACGACACUUAUCUAACCUCUCUCCACGUCGCUUUAACAUAGUCUUUGGACUUGUAGAACGGCAUUUACAUAACAACACGAACUAGUGACUAAACAAAACCCACCUCACCUAACAGUACUCGGCUACAAGCUGGGGAAAAAACAGAUGGAAACACCGACUAAAAAUUGAUGUAUAUAUAACAUAUAUUUUAUUCGUCUCGCGUUGUGCCAUACUUUUAACAGCCUCUGAAGGCCAACUUCCUAAUAAACUUUUCUUUCUAACAAAUGAGGCAGACUAGG
This 4538-nucleotide ribosomal RNA is filed under the name Triticum aestivum (bread wheat). RNAcentral's name for it is "partial small subunit ribosomal RNA". Lineage: Eukaryota; Viridiplantae; Streptophyta; Magnoliopsida; Poales; Poaceae. The record is from RNAcentral.